This 502-nucleotide ribosomal RNA is filed under the name uncultured bacterium. Its description in RNAcentral is "partial 16S ribosomal RNA". It matches the Rfam family "Bacterial small subunit ribosomal RNA", at positions 29 to 523 of the family's 1533-position model. The record is from RNAcentral.
AUUGAACGCUGGCGGCAUGCCUUACACAUGCAAGUCGAACGGCAGCACGGGUGCUUGCAGCUGGUGGCGAGUGGCGAAUGGGUGAGUAAUACAUCGGAACGUACCUUAUGGUGGGGGAUCACGCAGAGAAAGCAGUGCUAAUACAGCAUACGCCAUGAGGGGGGGAAGCGGGGGAUCGAAAGAUCUCGCGCGAUGAGAGGGGCCGAUGCCUGAUUAGCUUGUUGGUGGGGUAACAGCCCACCAAGGCGACGAUCAGUAGCUGGUCUGAGAGGACGAUCAGCCACACUGGGACUAGGACACUGCCCAGACUCCUACGGGAGGCAGCAGUGGGGAAUUUUGGACAAUGGGGGCAACCCUGAUCCAGCAAUGCCGCGUGAGUGAAGAAGGCCUUCGGGUUGUAAAGCUCUUUUGUCAGGGAAGAAACACCGGCUCUAACACAGUCCGGGAAUGACGGUACCUGAAGAAUAAGCACCGGCUAACUACGUGCCAGCCGCCGCGGUAA